GUGCACCAGUCGAGAAUUUUUCACAAUGGGGGAAACCCUGAUGGAGCGACGCCGCGUGGAGGAUGAAGGCGUUUUCGUCGUAAACUCCUGUCAAACGGGAACAAGAAAGUGAUAGUACCGUUAGAGGAAGAGGCGGCUAACUCUGUGCCAGCAGCCGCGGUAAUACAGAGGCCUCAAGCGUUGUUCGGAUUCAUUGGGCGUAAAGGGUGCGUAGGUGGCUUGGUAAGUUGAAGGUGAAAUCUCGGGGCUUAACUCCGAAACUGCCUUCAAUACUGCCGAGCUCGAGGAUUGUAGAGGAGAAUGGAAUUCACGGUGUAGCAGUGAAAUGCGUAGAUAUCGUGAGGAAGACCAGUGGCGAAGGCGAUUCUCUGGGCAAUUCCUGACACUGAGGCACGAAGGCUAGGGGAGCAAACGGGAUUAGAUACCCGCGU
RNAcentral lists this ribosomal RNA (431 nucleotides) under uncultured organism. RNAcentral describes it as "bacterial SSU rRNA". It matches the Rfam family "Bacterial small subunit ribosomal RNA", at positions 346 to 791 of the family's 1533-position model. The record is from RNAcentral.